CUUCCGUAGGUGAACCUGCGGAAGG
This 25-nucleotide ribosomal RNA is filed under the name Coniosporium sp. MA4567. RNAcentral's name for it is "partial 18S ribosomal RNA". The record is from RNAcentral. Lineage: Eukaryota; Fungi; Ascomycota; Dothideomycetes. RNAcentral also lists the same sequence under 3 other names.